CUACGUCGGCGACCGGCGCACGGGUGCGUAACGCGUAUGCAACCUACCCAUUACAGGGGGAUAACACUGAGAAAUCGGUACUAAUACCCCAUAACAUCCAGGGAGGCAUCUUCUUGGGUUGAAAACUCCGGUGGUAAUGGAUGGGCAUGCGUUGUAUUAGUUAGUUGGUGGGGUAACGGCUCACCAAGACAACGAUACAUAGGGGGACUGAGAGGUUAACCCCCCCACAUUGGUACUGAGACACGGACCAAACUCCUACGGGAGGCAGCAG
Molecule: ribosomal RNA, 271 nt
Filed under: uncultured bacterium
Lineage: Bacteria
Description: partial 16S ribosomal RNA
Rfam family: Bacterial small subunit ribosomal RNA
Source: RNAcentral